Pan troglodytes (chimpanzee) is the source of this 268-nucleotide long non-coding RNA. RefSeq lists it as uncharacterized. Lineage: Eukaryota; Metazoa; Chordata; Mammalia; Primates; Hominidae. The transcript is spliced from 3 exons. The record is from RefSeq and is a predicted model, not a curated record.
UUUUACCUUAAUUACUUCUUUAAACACCCUAUCUCAAAUGUAGUGGCAUUCUGAGGUGCUGGGAGUUAACGCUUCAACAAAUGAAUUUGAGGAGGAAAAGGACACAGUUCAGCCCAUAGCAGAACAAUUUAUCUGAAAGAAAUUACCUGCUUCUUGAAAAUGUGAAAGCUGUAAAGUUGCCCAGGUGAGCGUGGUUCUGGCAGUCUCUGGUGUCUGGAGAGAAAAAGGUAGGAUCUAAACAACUUCCAACCAACCCUGAGGGGGUCAG